GUGAUGCUAGCUUCCUUGGAUUCUUCCGGUUCAAGUUCCCCACCGAAUCAUCCACCACAUGGUGCGGUUUCUUUCGUGCCUUUUAAAAUCAUGCACAAAUUUCUGCCCCUCCCUCUAUUCUAUUAGAUACAGUGAUUGGUGCUAGCUAGAAACCGGUGUUUUAGAAUAUUCUUUGUAUUAUUUGAUGGAAGAUGGGUUGUCUGACAGAGCUAAUGUAAGUUGUUGGACUACGAAUGGAUAACAAACCAACAUGGACUAUGUAUUCUGGUUUGUUCACUCAUUUCAGUCCAUACAUAGCCCAUACUGAAAUAUCUAUUUGCGAACGGAGGAAAUACAUAUAUAUCUUUGCCCAUCUUAGAACUGGUUUGUGUAAGCAAUACAAUUUUAUACCACUGCCAUUGCGAUUUGAUUAAAACAUGCACUGCUUCCUCUCUGAAUUACUCCUACAACUACAAGCAUGUGGGUGUGCCUUUGCAUUUUGUUAACUUCAUUUUCCUUUUGAAGGAGAUGACUGCUAUCACGGUCAGACCAAGGGCUAUGUUCAGUGCGAUUCUUAGCAAGAUUUGUUUGUCUGAUGCAAAGUACGCGCGUUGUAGGAACUACAACCGACGUGUGGGUGCAACUGUGGUUUUCUGGCCGUCCAUGUUGCACUUUUCCGCAAUGGCAGAACCCAGGAAGAUCCAAGACAAUCCAACUAGGGAUAUUUCAACAGGUAAAUGAGUGAAACAAUUAUCGUUAUCCAGAUAGUUAUUUUGUGUUGUUUCAUCUUAUAAUGAAAUUUCAUUGUCUAAGGCAAAUUGAUUUCCCUUCCAGUUAUGUAUGUGCUCAGUCUAAUUAAGCGUUUUAAGUAGCUUUCUCUUUCAAUCAGUUACUAUUUGUACAUUUCUAUAAUAUUUUGUGGUAUAUGUCAUCUGUGAUUUAUCUUUGUUCUUAUAUGACUGACUUGCAAAAGAAAUCAUAGGUAAACAAAAAAACAAGAUAUCAAAGAUAAGCUAAAGUGAAAGUGGGUAUUUUUGUUCGAUAUUCUUGAACCAAUUUACUAGUCAUUUUUUCAUUGUGGUUCUGUUUUGUAGUUUGAAAUAAGGAAUUGGAACUGCAGCAUCCUGAAAUACUUGACAAACUACAGGAAGAAGC
This 1134-nucleotide long non-coding RNA is filed under the name Triticum aestivum (bread wheat). RNAcentral describes it as "long non-coding RNA (TAES_LNC017059)". Lineage: Eukaryota; Viridiplantae; Streptophyta; Magnoliopsida; Poales; Poaceae. The record is from RNAcentral.